AAGAUUUUAAGUUAUUCAAACUAAUGACCUUCAAAGUCAUUUAAAAAAGUUCAUACCCUUUUAAAUCUUA
This 70-nucleotide transfer RNA is filed under the name Homologenus malayensis. RNAcentral's name for it is "tRNA-Trp". It matches the Rfam family "tRNA". Rfam says of the family: Transfer RNA (tRNA) molecules are approximately 80 nucleotides in length. The record is from RNAcentral. Lineage: Eukaryota; Metazoa; Arthropoda; Malacostraca; Decapoda; Homolidae.